AUUGAACGCUGUCGGCAGGCCUAACACAUGCAAGUCGAACGGUAACAGGAAGCAGCUUGCUGCUUUGCUGACGAGUGGCGGACGGGUGAGUAAUGUCUGGGAAACUGCCCGAUGGAGGGGGAUAACUACUGGAAACGGUAGCUAAUACCGCAUAACGUCGCAAGACCAAAGAGGGGGACCUUAGGGCCUCUUGCCUUCGGAUGUGCCCAGAUGGGAUUAGCUAGUAGGUGGGGUAACGGCUCACCUAGGCGACGAUCCCUAGCUGGUCUGAGAGGAUGACCAGCCACACUGGAACUGAGACACGGUCCAGACUCCUACGGGAGGCAGCAGUGGGGAAUAUUGCACAAUGGGCGCAAGCCUGAUGCAGCCAUGCCGCGUGUAUGAAGAAGGCCUUCGGGUUGUAAAGUACUUUCAGCGGGGAGGAAGGGAGUAAAGUUAAUACCUUAGCUCAAUGACGUUACCCGCAGAAGAAGCACCGGCUAACUCCGUG
Molecule: ribosomal RNA, 490 nt
Filed under: uncultured bacterium
Lineage: Bacteria
Description: partial 16S ribosomal RNA
Rfam family: Bacterial small subunit ribosomal RNA
Source: RNAcentral